This 459-nucleotide ribosomal RNA is filed under the name uncultured bacterium. RNAcentral describes it as "partial 16S ribosomal RNA". It matches the Rfam family "Bacterial small subunit ribosomal RNA", at positions 338 to 795 of the family's 1533-position model. The record is from RNAcentral.
CCUACGGGUGGCUGCAGUGAGGAAUAUUGGUCAAUGGCCGGAAGGCUGAACCAGCCAAGCCGCGUGCGGGAGGAAGGCGCAGUGCGUCGCAGACCGCUUUUGCCGGGGGACAAAAGGCCGGACUCGUACGGUCCUGAGAGUACCCGGAGAAAAAGCAUCGGCUAACUCCGUGCCAGCAGCCGCGGUAAUACGGAGGAUGCGAGCGUUAUCCGGAUUCAUUGGGUUUAAAGGGUGCGCAGGCGGGCCUUUAAGCCGGCGGUGAAAUCCCGGGGCUCAACCCCGCCGUGCCUUCGGAACUGGGGGCCUUGAGUGCGGCGGCGGCAUGCGGAAUGCGCGGUGUAGCGGUGAAAUGCAUAGAGAGCGUGCAGAACCCCGAUUGCGAAGGCAGCGUGCCGUGCCGCCACUGACGCUGAGGCACGAAAGCGCGGGGAUCGAACAGGAUUAGAUACCCUAGUAGUC